RNAcentral lists this long non-coding RNA (636 nucleotides) under Mus spretus (western wild mouse). Its description in RNAcentral is "predicted gene 29561 (ENSMSPG00010036998.1)". Lineage: Eukaryota; Metazoa; Chordata; Mammalia; Rodentia; Muridae. The record is from RNAcentral.
ACAGGGUGGGAAGGUUAACUAGGCAUAGUCAACUUUGCCUACUCUUCAUUUACCUUUUGGAAGAAAUCUCAGGCUUCCUCACAACCAAAGAACCUCUGUCUGACCCUACUCUCAGCCCCUGCUCUGGCCUCUUCUGACAAGGAAGAUGCUCAGGCAGGAUGCAGGCUCAGCACUUUGAGACUGGUGGAUGUACUUAGAAACCUUCGUCUAACCAGUGAGCUCUGCCCUUACCAGCUGCCCUUUAUUCACUGUUUCUAGGCCCAUAACUACUGAUUUGCUGUUGCACUGCAGAAUAUUCUAGGACAUUCAGAUUUACAUACAUUUUUCUUCUGUCCUUUCUUGACAGGGUUUCUGUGUAGCCCUGGCUGGCCUCGAACUCAGAAUGGCCUGCCUCUGGAGAUGAAGGCAUCCACCAUUCCCAUUUUUCUGUUUUUUGUUUUUUAAUGAGUGUGCUUUGUGUAUGGGGAAUGCACAUGAACAAGGACCCCAGAAGACAGCCUCAUCCCCAGGAACACCAUCUCCUUUCCUUGAGGGAGGGUCUCUCAUUGACCUCACCGACUGGGCUAGGCACUGAGCCCACAGGUUCUCUUGUCUCUGCCUCCCAGGCAGGUACUGGGGAUUUCAAGCAAACCACUU